UAAUAUUAUUUAUUAAUUAAUUGUAUUUAGUUAUUUUAAUAAAUUAUUAUAAUUAUUUAGUAUUAAAAGUAUAGAAAUAUUUAUAUUAUAAUGUACUGUAAAGGAAUAAAAUAUUAAUUAUAUAAUAGUAGAAUUAUAUAUUCGUACCUUUUGUAUAAUGGAUUAAUGAUAGAUUUAAUUUAAUUAAAAAGUCUCGAAGUAAAAGGAUUUACUUAAUAAUUAAGUUGUUAACGUGGUAAAGUUAUAAUUUUAUUAUUAAGUGGUAAUGAAAUGUUUUUCGAUUUUUAUGAUAGCUAGUUUAUAGGUAUAGAAUAUUUUAGUAUUAUAAUAUUAAUAUUAUUAGUAGUAGUUUAAUAUUAUUUAAUUUAUAAGGGAUAAGCUUUAUAUAAAAAUAUAGAAUUGUAUAAAUUUUUUUAUUAUUUUAAGUAGAAUUAAGAUUGUUUUUCUUAAUAAUAAUAUAUAAUUUGUUAUUGUUUGUUUAUUCAGGUUAAGUACUUAUAAAUAUUUAUUAAUUAUUAAUAAAUAAAUAUAAUGUUAAUAUGAGUAUUUAAUAUAUUAAUUAGUUAUAGUUGUAAUAAAUUUGUAUAAUUAUAUAAUAAUAUUAAUAAUUAAAUAAAAUAAAGGAAUUCGGCAAAUAUAAAUCUCGCCUGUUUAUCAAAAACAUCUCUCUUUGUAAUUAAUAAAUAAAGAGUUGGGCCUGCUCAGUGAUGUAAAUUUAACAGCUGCGGUAUUUUAACUGUACUAAGGUAGCAUAAUAAUUUGCCUUAUAAUUUGAGGCUAGAAUGAAUGGUUUGACGAAGGUUUAUCUGUCUCUAUUUUAUUUAUUAGAAUUUAAUUUUUUAGUGAAAAAGCUAUAAUAUUUUAAAGGGACGAGAAGACCCUAUUGAGCUUAAAUUUAAUUACAUAAUUUAAUUAUGUUUUGAUAAAUUUUAAUUGGGGUGAUUAAGGAAUAAAAUUAUUAUAUAGUAACUUCCUUAAUAGUUAAUACUGUUGGGUUAAAUAACCAAUAAUAUUGCAUAUAAUAAAGUUACCAUAGGGAUAACAGCGUAAUUUAUUUAGAGAGUUCUUAUUGAAAAAUAAGAUUGCGACCUCGAUGUUGGAUUAAAGUAACCUUAAGGUGCAGAAGCUUUAAUAGGUAAAUCUGUUCGAUUUUUAAAACUUUACAUGAUCUGAGUUCAGACCGGUGUAAGCCAGGUUGGUUUCUAUCUUUUAAAUAUGAAGAUUUUUUUUUUAGUACGAAAGGACCAAAGAAGAUAAUAUGAUUAAUUU
This 1269-nucleotide ribosomal RNA is filed under the name Acanthosepion lycidas. Its description in RNAcentral is "Sepia lycidas 16S ribosomal RNA". The stretch from base 863 to 1212 matches the Rfam family "Bacterial large subunit ribosomal RNA", at positions 2073 to 2647 of the family's 2925-position model. The record is from RNAcentral. Lineage: Eukaryota; Metazoa; Mollusca; Cephalopoda; Sepiida; Sepiidae.